AUUGAACGCUGGCGGAAUGCUUUACACAUGCAAGUCGAACGGCAGCACGGACUUCGGUCUGGUGGCGAGUGGCGAACGGGUGAGUAAUGUAUCGGAACGUGCCCAGUCGUGGGGGAUAACGUAGUGAAAAUUACGCUAAUACCGCAUACGAUCUAUGGAUGAAAGCGGGGGAGCGCAAGACCUCGCGCGAUUGGAGCGGCCGAUAUCAGAUUAGGUAGUUGGUGGGGUAAAGGCCCACCAAGCCAACGAUCUGUAGCUGGUCUGAGAGGACGACCAGCCACACUGGAACUGAGACACGGUCCAGACUCCUACGGGAGGCAGCAGUGGGGAAUUUUGGACAAUGGGCGAAAGCCUGAUCCAGCCAUUCCGCGUGCAGGAUGAAGGCCCUCGGGUUGUAAACUGCUUUUGUACAGAACGAAAAGGUUUCUACUAAUACUAGGAGCUCAUGACGGUACUGUAAGAAUAAGCACCGGCUAACUACGUGCCAGCAGCCGCCGUAU
This 500-nucleotide ribosomal RNA is filed under the name uncultured bacterium. RNAcentral describes it as "partial 16S ribosomal RNA". It matches the Rfam family "Bacterial small subunit ribosomal RNA", at positions 30 to 523 of the family's 1533-position model. The record is from RNAcentral.